CGAGCACGCGCGUGUGGCAUAUCAAUAAGCGGAGGAAAAGAAACUAACAAGGAUUCCCCUAGUAACGGCGAGUGAAGCGGGAAGAGCUCAAAUUUGAAAUCUUAAAGGGUUUCCCUUUACGAAUUGUAGUUUAAAGAAGCGUUUUCUGUUGGAGUUUCGGUAAAAGUUCUUUGGAAUAGGACAUCAUAGAGGGUGAGAAUCCCGUAUUUGACCGUUACUUUCCAGCCGUGUGAUACACUUUCAAAGAGUCGGAUUGUUUGGGAAUGCAGUCCAAAAUGGGUGGUAAAUUUCAUCUAAAGCUAAAUAUUGGCGAGAGACCGAUAGCGAACAAGUACCGUGAGGGAAAGAUGAAAAGAACCUUUGAAAAGAGAGUUAAACAGUACGUGAAAUUGUCAAAAGGGAAGCGUUUGACACCAGUGUUGUUUUUCCGAAAAUCAAUUACGAAUGUUUUGUUUUUAGGAAGUUAUGACUUCAUCGGCUUGCUUCUUUCUUUACGAAACUUUCUUAAUGCACUUUUCGGUUAACAAGUCAACAUCAAUUUCUUUUGUUGUAAAAGGGUAUGAGGAAGGUGGCUUUCUUUUCGGAGAAAGUGUUUAUAGCCUUGUACCUCUGCAAUCGGAGAGAUUGAGGUCUGCAGCGUAGAUCCUUCGGGGUUAGAUACAUUUGUGCUAAGUUAUAGCUUUUCAUAGACAACUUGUUGACUAUGUUUAGUCUUGUAGCUUACUCGCUUAUGCUAUUUUACCUACGCUUAGGAUGUUGAGCGCAUGUCUCUCUCU
RNAcentral lists this ribosomal RNA (776 nucleotides) under uncultured Neocallimastigales. RNAcentral describes it as "partial large subunit ribosomal RNA". It matches the Rfam family "Eukaryotic large subunit ribosomal RNA", at positions 19 to 616 of the family's 3401-position model. The record is from RNAcentral. Lineage: Eukaryota; Fungi; Neocallimastigomycota; Neocallimastigomycetes; Neocallimastigales.